Molecule: RNA transcript, 5182 nt
Organism: Brienomyrus brachyistius
Lineage: Eukaryota; Metazoa; Chordata; Actinopteri; Osteoglossiformes; Mormyridae
Gene name: neurturin-like
Exons: 2
Source: RefSeq, a predicted model, not a curated record
GCUUUUCUGCAUCCUUCUGCUCCUCGUGCCGGAAUGUCUGCACGGCUCUGAUCUGGAGGUCAGCUGAAGUGGAAAACGUGCAGGCGAGUCUGGAUAAGCCCAGCCACCGGUAAGGACACAUCCUUUUUUUGCCAUUAUAAGCUGGGACAAGAUGAUAAUCUUGUGAUGAAAACUAAAUUCAACACAGCAUCCUUUAGGACUAAUACAGUAAUAUCUGCGUCUCCGAAAAAAGUACAUGUGUUUCAUUUCAUACUCAAAUUCCUUAAUUCAAUAUAUAAUUUAGUCUCAAGGUUUAAUUGAAACUGGAUACAUGUGGCUUGUCCACAAUUUAUAAUAUUAAAGUGAACCUUCAAGAUAGAUGUAUAAGAUGAUCUCUGAACUAAGCCUCUGGCCAUAACACCUAUUUGUUUUGUUCUGGCGUAUCUGUUUUGCGUAUAAAUAAUGAACAUAGAGGGUGAACAUUAAUGAAAAGUUUAGUGAAACUUGUAAAGCGAAGUGGCUGUGAAGUAUAGGGUUAAACCUGCUGUCUAAUCAGUCUUUCAGCUGCGUUAACCUGGGUGAGAAUCUGAUUUCAGCGGCUCAGCAAAGGUUACUGCUGAUUAAAGAGGGGGGGGGGGGAAAUCAAGGUUUAUCCCCCGCGAAUUCUCUGUGCCGCAAUUAGGUGGCAUCAGAAGCAUAACGGAUUUAUCGUACAUCUACAAACCUAUUGCGUAAAAUGAACGUGGAAAAUAUGUUUUUGCGCUGUAUGGCGUGUAAUGCAGGAAAAAGCAGUGUACCAUCAAUAUACCGGCAUGAAUCCGGCUAUUAGAGUGACAGUAUCUGUAGAUAUAUUUUUAAAAAAGGAAAAUAUGUUUGCAGGAGUGUAACUGAGUUUCUCGAUCGUUUAAAACAUCAGUAAAACAGUGUUCAACGAUUUACUGAUGUGUUGAUUCUACAGUAAACAGAAGUAACAGUACAGGUUUGUGCUUCACAAAUGAAUGUUCCAGGGAAAAUACUUGGCCUGGCUUUCUUUUUUGCUUUUAUUACUUGGAUAGAGAAUUGUAUAUAUAUUACAUAUUAUUAUUAUUAUUAUUAUUAUUGAUAGUAAAAGCAUUCUGAAAAGUAAAUCCUGACAGGGGAGUCAAUUUCAAGCCAAAUAUAUGUAAUGUUAUCAUCCUUACAGAUUAAUGUAUUUAAAAAAAAACACUCACCAAAAAUUCAUACAUAUUAAAUUCCUGAAAUCCGAUCCUGAACACCAACAAUUACAUUUGCAAUCUCAGUCUGCAGUGUCAGUAAUGUAAGUUAAUAUUAGGUUUGUGCUUGAUUUUGUUUAAUUUUAACAUGACAAUUGGCACUUGAAUGGGCUGUUACAUCAGCCGUAGCUCAUUCACCGGCAGCGUUUCUCCUGCCAGCCAUGGAGGCAGAGAUUUCUGGCAGCAGCCUGCUCCUUUGAAAAGUGAUCCAAAGUGGCGGCUUUAUUAAAUCACAGAUCAAGUAAGAGGAGACAUUCUUCCACCAUUUCUACGAACGGAACCUGUCCGCCCGCGCAACAAUGAUUUCAAUUACACCACUGACAAUGAUAGUAGCAUGAGUUACCAUGGUUAAAGGUGUUUGCUGUUACAAACACAGGUAUGUCAUUACACAUCUGGUGUGCAAUGGACUGGUAUAAUUCCUGUAUUUUGCUUUUGGGUGCCUGUUUGUUCUAUAUUCUGUAAUUAUUUUACAGUAUGUAACGUAUAUAUUUUGACAUUAUUUUAGAUUUACUGAUCUAAAAGUAUAACAAAUAGUUAAACAUAUAUAAAACAUAGGAACAUAUUUAAAACAUAUAGAAGGUUAAAAAUAUUAAUAUUUUAUAGCUAUAAAUAGUUUACCCCUACCAUUAAUGCAGGUGACAAGCAAAAUGUAUGAAGAAAAUGAGCCAAAACACUUAUCUGCGCCUAUAGCAUUUUAAGAUAGACCUAAUUACUCUGUUGAUGUGUAACAAUGCUACAUAGUUCACAGAGACCCAAAGAUGGAACCUUGUGAAAUUGAACUAGAACUAGGAAUGUUUUAGAAUGUAUCACAUUUUUUAUUCCAUAAAAUACUACACAAGAUACUCAAGAAAUAUUCUACUCUAAUAAACAGCUGAUGAUCAACUGAAGAUCAACUUAACUGCGGAGUUGGAGAGUUCGGGUCCCGAAAGCACUAAUCCAGAACAAGGUUUUGUUCCAACUAACCCGCUGAAGACUCUAUACUCAACUGGCUGGUUGAACCAAAACCUUGCUCUGGAUUUGUACUUUCUGGAUGUGAACUUUCCACCUCUGCUAAACUGUCAUAUGGCUGCGUAUCCACAACAUAAACUUUCACGAAUGCAUGUGUGUUAAUAUCAGUUAGACAUCUUAGGGGCAUGUAAACACCACGUUUAUCCCGCCACACAGCCAGAGGCAGCAUUGUCUGUGAUCUCAGCGCACUUCACUUUUGGCAUGGACUGUAUGGUAUGCAGGAGCUGGGCGCUGGGCUCAGCUAAUUCGCUGCACUUAGGAUACGAGUUGGCUGAUAAGACUGAAGACAAUGGUGCUCUAUUUGUAAAGAUACACGCACGACCAAGGCGAAAGUACGUGCACAUUCCGAUGGUUUGGCCAUGUUGCAUCCAGUGGAAGUUCUUUUCUACUUUGUUUGUUUUUAAAGUCUGCCUGGAAAGGAUAUAUACCCAGCAAAAAAUAAGAGAAGAUAUAUAACAAAAGACACAAAAACCACAAUGAUGUUCCCCCUCAAAGACAAGGCAGUGUGACAUUAAGUUAAAUAAAUUUUAUCUUGUAUUUUAAUGUAAUACCCUCAUACCUAGACCACUCUGUCUUGCUGGAGGAAAUGUACUGCCAACAGCAAGACACAAUUAACAGUGUUAAUUGUUUAAUCAGUAAAAACAAUAGCAAAAAAAAAAGAUUUCAUGCAACUAUCAAAAUUAACUGCUGAUCCUGGUCAGUGUGGUGGUGGUGGGGGGGGAUGCCAGUCUAUCAUAGGGCAACGGGCUGGGGUACUCCAUGGAUGGGAUGCCAGUUUAUCACAGGGCACGGGGCUGGGGAACACCCUGGGCAGGAUGCCUAUCCAUCACUACAAAACAGAUCUUAUCAGGUUAAUAAUUAUAUGAAAAAGCAAGUAUGGAUAAUUUAGCUAGAAUUUUCAUGUUUCCCAGUCUAAUUUUUCAUUAUGCAGUAGAGUACAAAAGUCUUAGGCACUCCUAGGAAAUGUUUAAAGUGGUUUAUCUGAGUAGUAAGAGUGUAUUUGCUCAGAAUACACAAUUUUACAUUAGAACAUAUGCAAGUUAAGAGUAACACAACAGAAACUAACAAGUAUUUGUUCUGUUCUCCAAAAAGUGACUGAUUCCUAGUUGGACGGCUAGAUGAACACCACUUCAGGUCCCAAACUUCUCAGGGGCACCCCAGCCAUUACAUGUGUUGGUUACAUUUCACGUCCAGCUCAAUUAAUUAAUUAAUUUAAUUAUUUAUGAGGUAUUGAUUAGUCAUAUGAAGUGGGGUAGCGAUCGGGCCAAACAAAUGUACAGGUGUAUUGGAUGGUUACUGUAAUUACUGGGGUGACUUUAGCAGAGGUUUGGAAUCAGCCAGGCUGGCUAUAGUUUUACACCAACAUGAAGAUCAUUUGAACAUCAUUUUCUUUCACUGCCUAAGACUAUUGCAAACUCCUGUUUGUCCAGUGAAGAGAAGGGUGUAACCCUUUUAAGAGACCUUUAGCCGCAUGUCUAGAAUGUUCCACCUUGUGCCAUUUGCUUCUUGGCAUAGUCUUGCACUGCGUGAAUCACUGGACGGAGAAAGGAUAACAUAGUAAUAAAGAUACAUCUGACAUCUGCAAAUCUUACCUCUACACAGAAAUGUCAGUCAAGGUUAAGAUUUGCUAGGAAUGACUAGCUGGAUAAUAAAGUUUUUCUUUUGAUAUUCUUACAUGUUUUGCAAAACAUGUCUUAACUGAAACAUUAGUUAACAUCUUAUUUAACACAACUGACACCUGACUGCAUUUACUGUUGGUGGAUAGUGCUGUGUAAUGAUCACUCAUUUGGUAAAAAGGGUAACUCAGGAAAAAUGAUGGAGUGGACAUUCGUUUCAGUUGAAAUGUCCAAACAGUUAAUUCAAAAGAAAACACGGAAGCAGCAUGGUGAAAAGCGACAGGGGCCUACGGAGUUACCCACUGUGCCCUAGCAGACAGACAGGGGCCUACGGAGUUACCCACUGUGCCCUAGCAGACAGACAGGGGCCUACGGAGUUACCCACUGUGCCCUAGCAGACAGACAGGGGCCUACGGAGUUACCCACUGUGCCCUAGCAGACAGACAGGUGCCGACAGAGUUACCCACUGUGCCCUAGCAGACAGACAGGUGCCGACAGAGUUACCCACUGUGCCCUAGCAGACAGACAGGGGCCUACGGAGUUACCCACUGUGCCCUAGCAGACAGACAGGGGCCUACGGAGUUACCCACUGUGCCCUAGCAGACAGACAGGGGCCUACGGAGUUACCCACUGUGCCCAAGCAGACAGACAGGGGCCUACGGAGUUACCCACUGUACCCUAGCAGACAGACAGGUGCCGACGGAGUUACCCACUGUGCCCUAGCAGACAGACAGGUGCCGACAGAGUUACCCACUGUGCCCUAGCAGACAGACAGGGGCCUACGGAGUUACCCACUGUGCCCUAGCAGACAGACAGGUGCCGACGGAGUUACCCACUAUGCCCUAGCAGACAGACAGGGGCCUACGGAGUUACCCACUGUGCCCUAGCAGACAGAGAGGUGCCGACGGAGUUACCCACUAUGCCCUAGCAGACAGACAGGGGCCUACGGAGUUACCCACUGUGCCCUAGCAGACAGACAGGUGCCGACAGAGUUACCCACUAUGCCCUAGCAGACAGACAGGGGCCUACGGAGUUACCCACUGUGCCCUAGCAGACAGACAGGUGCCGACGGAGUUACCCACUAUGCCCUAGCAGACAGACAGGGGCCUACGGAGUUACCCACUGUGCCCUAGCAGACAGACAGGUGCCGACAGAGUUACCCACUAUGCCCUAGCAGACAGACAGGGGCCUACGGAGUUACCCACUGUGCCCUAGCAGACAGACAGGUGCCGACAGAGUUACCCACUAUGCCCUAGCAGACAGACAGGGGCCUACAGAGUUACCCACUGUGCCCUAGCAGACAGACAGGUGCCGACAGAGUUACCC